This 207-nucleotide ribosomal RNA is filed under the name uncultured bacterium. RNAcentral describes it as "partial 16S ribosomal RNA". It matches the Rfam family "Bacterial small subunit ribosomal RNA", at positions 568 to 774 of the family's 1533-position model. The record is from RNAcentral.
AGUGUAGGCGGUGCGAUAAGUCGAUUGUGAAAUCUCCCGGCUCAACCGGGAGGGUGCGGUCGAAACUGUCGGACUGGAGUCCGAGAGGGGAGAGUGGAAUUCCUGGUGUAGCGGUGAAAUGCGUAGAUAUCAGGAGGAACAUCGGUGGUGAAGACGGCUCUCUGGAUCGUGACUGACGCUGAGACUCGAAAGCGUGGGGAGCAAACA